This 460-nucleotide ribosomal RNA is filed under the name uncultured bacterium. RNAcentral describes it as "partial 16S ribosomal RNA". It matches the Rfam family "Bacterial small subunit ribosomal RNA", at positions 338 to 795 of the family's 1533-position model. The record is from RNAcentral.
CCUACGGGAGGCAGCAGUGAGGAAUAUUGGUCAAUGGGCGCGAGCCUGAACCAGCCAAGUAGCGUGAAGGAUGACUGCCCUACGGGUUGUAAACUUCUUUUAUAAGGGAAUAAAGUGCCCCACGUGUGGGGUUUUGUAUGUACCUUAUGAAUAAGCAUCGGCUAACUCCGUGCCAGCAGCCGCGGUAAUACGGAGGAUGCGAGCGUUAUCCGGAUUUAUUGGGUUUAAAGGGAGCGUAGGUGGGUUGUUAAGUCAGGCGGGAAAUUUUGCGGCUCAACCGUAAAAGUGCAUUUGAAACUGGGAGCCUUGAGUACGCGCAGGGUAGGCGGAAUGCGUGGUGUAGCGGUGAAAUGCUUAGAUAUCACGAAGAACUCCGAUCGCGAAGGCAGCCUACCGGAGCGCGACUGACGCUGAGGCUCGAAAGUGUGGGUAUCAAACAGGAUUAGAUACCCGGGUAGUC